UGCCAGCAGCCGCGGUAAUACGAAGGGGGCGAGCGUUGUUCGGAAUUACUGGGCGUAAAGGGCGCGUAGGCGGUCAUUUAAGUUAGGCGUGAAAGCCCCGGGCUCAACCCGGGAACUGCGCUUAAAACUGAAGGACUAGAAAACGGAAGAGGGUAGUGGAAUUCCCAGUGUAGAGGUGAAAUUCGUAGAUAUUGGGAAGAACACCAGUGGCGAAAGCGGCUACCUGGUCCGAUUUUGACGCUCAUGGACGAAAGCCAGGGGAGCGAAAGGGAUUAGAUA
RNAcentral lists this ribosomal RNA (279 nucleotides) under uncultured bacterium. Its description in RNAcentral is "partial 16S ribosomal RNA". It matches the Rfam family "Bacterial small subunit ribosomal RNA", at positions 506 to 784 of the family's 1533-position model. The record is from RNAcentral.